UGGUAAUUGAUAGGUGUGAUUUGAUGAUGCACAUGAAUUUAUCACAGGGCCGGAUUUGACCAUACUGUGAUAUUGAUAUAUUCAUGUGCAUCAUCAAAUCACACCUGUCAAUUACCA
Molecule: non-coding RNA, 117 nt
Organism: Paramuricea clavata
Lineage: Eukaryota; Metazoa; Cnidaria; Anthozoa; Malacalcyonacea; Plexauridae
Source: the annotation of a GenBank genome assembly